Molecule: ribosomal RNA, 460 nt
Filed under: uncultured bacterium
Lineage: Bacteria
Description: partial 16S ribosomal RNA
Rfam family: Bacterial small subunit ribosomal RNA
Source: RNAcentral
CCUACGGGAGGCAGCAGUGAGGAAUAUUGGUCAAUGGGCGGAAGUCUGAACCAGCCAUGCCGCGUGAAGGAUGACGGCCCUAUGGGUUUUAAACUUCUUUUAUACGGGGGUAAAGUGUCCCACGUGUGGGCUUUUGUAUGUACCUUCUGAAUAAGGAUCGGCUACUUCCUUGCCAGCAGCCGCGUUAAUACGGAGGAUCCAGGCGUUAUCCGGAUUUAUUGGGUUUAAAGGGGGCGUAGGUGGAUGGAUAAGUUAGCGGGGAAAGCUCCGGGAUUAAGGCGUGAACUGCCGUUAAUACUGUGGUUCUAGAGUGCAGAUGCGGUAGGCGGAAUGUGUGGUGUAGCGGUGAAAUGCUUAGAGAUCACACAGAACACCGAUUGCGAAGGCAGCUUACCAAUCCAUGACUGACGUUGAGGCACGAAAGCGUGGGGAUCAAACAGGAUUAGAUACCCGGGUAGUC